GGUAACGUUUUUCCCGGAAGUGAAAAUUAAAUCUACAUUUCCUUUACCAAUGACUUUGGAUCGAACUUCGUUGCCCAUUUGAAUCUCUUGAUCUCCAUCCAUUUCAUGAUAGGUCUUGAAUAAAGAUUUAUCAUAUGAUACAUGCACCGUAGCACAAGUAUCAUACCACCACCCGGGAACCUUUCCCUUAAUUUCAUUUAUCUCGCUCA
This 209-nucleotide long non-coding RNA is filed under the name Olea europaea (common olive). RNAcentral describes it as "long non-coding RNA (OEUR_LNC000955)". Lineage: Eukaryota; Viridiplantae; Streptophyta; Magnoliopsida; Lamiales; Oleaceae. The record is from RNAcentral.